This 1155-nucleotide long non-coding RNA is filed under the name Salmo salar (Atlantic salmon). Its description in RNAcentral is "lncRNA (ENSSSAG00000110663.1)". Lineage: Eukaryota; Metazoa; Chordata; Actinopteri; Salmoniformes; Salmonidae. The record is from RNAcentral.
CAGCUGUGUGUCUUAGGACAGGACAGCCUUGGCAUUAUGACAUCAGCUGUGUGUCUUAGGGACAGGACAGCCUUGGCAUUAUGACAUCAGCUGCAGAUGUGCAACAUUGACUCUUUAUUGUCGCGUCCUACGAGAAGGGAGUGGCUGGCAAAAACACUGUUUUCUCACUGUGCUGUGUUGCGGCAAUGGGGUGCAAGGAGGCAGCUUCAGGGUGGAAAAAGAAAAUAAAGUUUCCAGACUUCCUGGAAGAUGUGGGGAACAGUGAGCAUCCAAAUGUGGUUCCUAAGAGGAUCCAACCAGAACAGCAGUAUGAGAGCCUCCCAGAUUUGUAUCAGCCCUGACAGUGAAGUGCCGAGAGAAGAUGUGAGAGAAUAGAGAGAAGCGAAAGUGAUUGAAAGAGUAGAAAGAUGAAAAGAGAGAGGAAUAGAUAGAGGGACAGAGAAAAAAGAGAACGAUGAAGCGAAAGAUGGAGAUACAGGGCGAUUCCACGCCAGCAUAGAAAGAAAAUAUUUUUGGUAUCGCAGAUUGUUCUGGACAUUCUCACAUAGAAAUAGUAUUUUGGAAUCUAGACAUACUCCAUAUUUGAGAGCACACUAUAAGGAAUAUAAUGACUCCAAGAUGUCUGUACCAUGUAUAUUUCACAGAUCAUAUAGGGUUUUACAGGAGGCAUGUAUAGGUCUAAAAAGGGCCUAAAAUAGCCAGUUUCAUCACGACUUUCUCAAAAAUGGUAUGUGAUACAAAUGUAAAAAGCAUGUCAAACAUCCUUCCUCUCAAUGAAGUUUACAUGAGAAUUGCCAGAACAAUCUCAGACAGCAAAAAUAUUUUCCACCUACGCUGGCCUGGAAUCGAUCUAUUCAGAAAGAGAGAGGAAGAGAGAGAGAGAGCGAGAGAGAGAGAGCGAGAGACAGAGAGAGACUGCUAUCUAAACUGGGCUCUUCCUAUUAGUCUGUCCUGCAAUAUGGACAUAAAACAGAUGGACAGAUGUGUAUUAAAAAGGCCUUAUGAUUAAUGAACAGAACCCAGAGAGCAAUAAUAGAGAGAGAGGGAAGGAAGAAGAGACCUGGUUAGAGCACUUGUAUGCAUAAAUUGUCAUCUUUGUUGUUGCGCUCCUUAAAAGGUAUUGAAGUGUAAAGUAUUCCACCCCCAACCCUCUCC